Molecule: long non-coding RNA, 496 nt
Filed under: Cricetulus griseus (Chinese hamster)
Lineage: Eukaryota; Metazoa; Chordata; Mammalia; Rodentia; Cricetidae
Description: lncRNA (ENSCGRG00015029639.1)
Source: RNAcentral
GUGCUCCCUCACUUACGAUAUGUCCCCUCUCCCUUCUAUUGGUUUUGUUUGCAGAAGCUUACUGACCAACUGGGAAUUAGCUAAGAAGCCCCGGUUUGCCUCAAACGUCCCAUCCCCCUCUACAUGCUAGGAAUCCAUGUAUGAACCAGCACAGCCAGGUUGACUUUAAUGCCCACCCAUGUGUGAGUCUUCUGUCUAUGGAUGGAGCAUAGCAUGGAAAAUGAUAGAGAAAAAUUUGCAUUUACUGUACCAACUCUUAAUAAUUCACAGCCAGUUGGGAGAUAUCAGUGGAGAGUUUUGCCACAAGGAAUGCUAAAUAGUCCUACUUUGUGUCAGCACUUUGUACAGCAACCUUUGGAAAUAAUUGAGAAUACCCUUCUGGAAUUCUGAUGCAAAGGGAAGAUACUAUAUUGGAAUGGAUAUUUCUGCCACAUAAACAGAAUAAAAAGUUAAAGACAUAUAUACAAAAGAUUUCUGAUUUGAUUUUAAAGGGAAA